Myotis davidii is the source of this 88-nucleotide long non-coding RNA. RefSeq lists it as uncharacterized. NCBI's taxonomy places the organism in Eukaryota, Metazoa, Chordata, Mammalia, Chiroptera, Vespertilionidae. The transcript has 3 exons. The record is from RefSeq and is a predicted model, not a curated record.
UAUGUAUAUAUAUAUAUAUUUUAAGGCUCACCUGAGGACAUGGGUUUUUUUAUUGAUGGAGACAGAGAGAGAGAGAGAGAGAGAGACA